Molecule: unclassified non-coding RNA, 301 nt
Filed under: Glomus sp.
Lineage: Eukaryota; Fungi; Glomeromycota; Glomeromycetes; Glomerales; Glomeraceae
Description: partial contains 5.8S ribosomal RNA, internal transcribed spacer 2, and large subunit ribosomal RNA
Rfam family: 5.8S ribosomal RNA (bases 1-71)
Source: RNAcentral
GUGAAUCAUCAAAUCUUUGAACGCAAAUUGCACUCUCUGGUAUUCCUGAACGUAUGCCUGUUUCAGGGUCAGUUAAAUAAAAAUCGUUGUUGUUGCUGCUUUUCGUGGUGACGCGUCGGAAUUGUGUUGUAUUACUUUCGGUUAAGUGACUUAAAAUUUUGCAUGAAUUUCGAGAGUAUUUAAAUUUCUUACGUACACUUGAGAUAUCGAAUACUUUAUUAGGUUCGGUCAUUGUCAUGAUUCGCAUCUAUAAUUAUUCCGUAAAUGACCUUCAUUCAGGUAAGAACACCCGCUGAACUUA